Diuraphis noxia (Russian wheat aphid) is the source of this 292-nucleotide long non-coding RNA. The record is from RefSeq and is a predicted model, not a curated record. Lineage: Eukaryota; Metazoa; Arthropoda; Insecta; Hemiptera; Aphididae.
CAUGGUGUUUUGUGUCGUACUUGUUGACUUCCGCAGACGACGCGGCUCUCGAAUGUUGCACGUUACGUUCGCAAUAAUCCGACGAAAUUCUAGUCGUCGUUAAGAUACAUUUUGAUUGUACGAAUGGAUUUAUCGUAACGACAACACUAUCGACGUUUUUUAAUAAACAGAAGAUCAGGUUCACUUUCUUAUUCUUGGACAACGGUAUAAACUCGGUUACAACUACUCAAUAGACAUUAAUAUACAGUUACCGGUUCUAGAACUCGUCUUGAUCUGGCCAUCUCGGAACAGG